CAGGGAUUGCCCCAGUAACGGCGAGUGAAGCGGCAACAGCUCAAAUUUGAAAUCUGGCCCCCAGGGCCCGAGUUGUAAUUUGCAGAGGAUGCUUUUGGCGCGGCGCCUUCCGAGUUCCCUGGAACGGGACGCCAUAGAGGGUGAGAGCCCCGUCUGGUCGGACGCCAAGCCAGUGUAAAGCUCCUUCGACGAGUCGAGUAGUUUGGGAAUGCUGCUCUAAAUGGGAGGUAUAUGUCUUCUAAAGCUAAAUAUAGGCCAGAGACCGAUAGCGCACAAGUAGAGUGAUCGAAAGAUGAAAAGCACUUUGAAAAGAGGGUUAAACAGUACGUGAAAUUGUUGAAAGGGAAGCACUUGUGACCAGACUUGGGCCCGGUGAAUCAUCCAGCGUUCUCGCUGGUGCACUUCGCCGGGCCCAGGCCAGCAUCAGUUCGCCGCGGGGGAUAAAAGCUUCGGGAACGUAGCUCCCUCGGGAGUGUUAUAGCCCGUUGCAUAAUACCCUGCGGUGGACUGAGGUUCGCGCUCCGCAAGGAUGCUGGCGUAAUGGUCACCAGUGACCCGUCUUGAAACACGGACCAAGGAGUCGUUUCGUAUGCGAGUGUUCGGGUGUCAAACCCCUACGCGUAAUGAAAGUGAACGCAGGUGAGAGCUUCGGCGCAUCAUCGACCGAUCCUGAUGUUCUCGGAUGGAUUUGAGUAAGAGCAUACGGGGCCGGACCCGAAAGAAGGUGAACUAUGCCUGUAUAGGGUGAAGCCAGAGGAAACUCUGGUGGAGGCUCGCAGCGGUUCUGACGUGCAAAUCGAUCGUCAAAUAUGGGCAUGGGGGCGAAAGACUAAUCGAACCUUCUAGUAGCUGGUUUCCGCCGAAGUUUCCCUCAGGAUAGCAGUGUUGAACUCAGUUUUAUGAGGUAAAGCGAAUGAUUAGGGACCCGGGGGCGCUCUUUAGCCUUCAUCCAUUCUCAAACUUUAAAUAUGUAAGAAGCCCUUGUUGCUUAAUUGAACGUGGGCAUUCGAAUGUAUCAACACUAGUGGGCCAUUUUUGGUAAGCAGAACUGGCGAUGCGGGAUGAACCGAACGCGAGGUUAAGGUGCCAGAGUAGACGCUCAUCAGACACCACAAAAGGCGUUAGUCAUCUUGACAGCAGACGUGGCCAUGGAAGUCGGAA
RNAcentral lists this ribosomal RNA (1161 nucleotides) under Tolypocladium inflatum. RNAcentral's name for it is "LSU rRNA". It matches the Rfam family "Eukaryotic large subunit ribosomal RNA", at positions 69 to 1266 of the family's 3401-position model. Lineage: Eukaryota; Fungi; Ascomycota; Sordariomycetes; Hypocreales; Ophiocordycipitaceae. The record is from RNAcentral.